UUAAAGGACCACUCUAGGCACCCAGACCACUUCCGCUUAAUGAAGUGGUCUGGGUGCCAGGUCCCUCUAGGAUUAACCCUUUUUUUUUAUAAACAUAGCAGUUUCAGAGAAAACUGCUAUGUUUAUAAAUGGGUUAAUCCAGCCUCCAAAUCCUCUAGUGGCUGUCUCAUUGACAGCCGCUAGAGGCGUUUGCGUGCUUCUCACUGUGAAAAUCACAGUGAGAACACGCAAGCGUCCAUAGGAAAGCAUUGUAAAUGCUUUCCUAUGAGAC
RNAcentral lists this long non-coding RNA (271 nucleotides) under Pelobates cultripes (western spadefoot toad). The record is from RNAcentral. Lineage: Eukaryota; Metazoa; Chordata; Amphibia; Anura; Pelobatidae.